This 418-nucleotide ribosomal RNA is filed under the name uncultured Adhaeribacter sp. RNAcentral's name for it is "bacterial SSU rRNA". It matches the Rfam family "Bacterial small subunit ribosomal RNA", at positions 358 to 774 of the family's 1533-position model. The record is from RNAcentral. Lineage: Bacteria; Pseudomonadati; Bacteroidota; Cytophagia; Cytophagales; Hymenobacteraceae.
GGAAUAUUGGGCAAUGGGCGGAAGCCUGACCCAGCCAUGCCGCGUGCAGGAAGAAGGCCUUCUGGGUUGUAAACUGCUUUUAUUUGGGAAGAAAAGACUCUUGCGAGAGGCACUGACGGUACCAGAUGAAUAAGCACCGGCUAACUCCGUGCCAGCAGCCGCGGUAAUACGGAGGGUGCAAGCGUUGUCCGGAUUUAUUGGGUUUAAAGGGUGCGUAGGCGGCUUGAUAAGUCCGUGGUGAAAGCCAACAGCUCAACUGUUGAACUGCCAUGGAUACUGUCGGGCUUGAGUACAGACGAGGUAGGCGGAAUUGAUGGUGUAGCGGUGAAAUGCAUAGAUACCAUCAAGAACCCCGAUUGCGAAGGCAGCUUACUAGGCUGUAACUGACGCUGAGGCACGAAAGCGUGGGGAGCGAACA